Molecule: long non-coding RNA, 1146 nt
Filed under: Pongo abelii (Sumatran orangutan)
Lineage: Eukaryota; Metazoa; Chordata; Mammalia; Primates; Hominidae
Description: lincRNA
Source: RNAcentral
GCAGGAUGAGGGCGGCCAUUGCUGGGGCUCUGCUUCGGGGAGGAGGACGCUGAGGAGGCGCCGAGCCGCGCAGCGCUGCGGGGGAGGCGCCCGCGCCGACGCGGGGCCCAUGGCCAGGACCACCAGCCAGCUGUUCUACGGUCUGGGGACGAUGGUUUAAGAAUUUAUGCGUUGUAUGCGAUGUGCAGUGGGUGAUGGAAGAACGUCUACAUAGCUUGCAAAAUUUGAUUUAAAAGGCAAAUAUUUUAAAUGAAGGAAAACCCAAGAAGUUUACUUGAUUCCUUAUCUUCCAGGAUGCGACUUUUAUUUAUUUAUUUUGAUGGAGUCUCGCUCCCGUCGCGCAGGCUGGAGUGCAGUGACGUGAUCUCGACCCGGGAACCUCCACCUCCCGGGUUCAAGCGAUUCUCCUGCCACAGCCUCCCGAGUAGCUGGGAUUACAGGCGUGUGCCACCAUGCGUGGCUAAUUUUUGUAUUUUUAGUAGAGAAGGGGAAAGGUGUGGGCCCUCUUCUGAGAAAAAGGCAGAGUGACAUUGAAUUUUGUAACUACGUCAGGAGGCUCUUGAACUUUCUGCAGCUCACUCGUGGACUUUGUAGAGAUGCGUGGUAAUCUGAAGUGUUAAGGAAGAAAGUUGGGAAAAAUGUUGGAGGGUUGAAAGGGAUGCCUUUCGCUAUUUCGACAUGUGUGGCUGUACCCCAGAGUAGCCCGGGUAACAUAAAAAUAUGAAUUGUUUUUAUUGGCCAGGCUUGGCCAGGCUCAGUGGAGGCUGGGGCCGAGAGUCAUGGCGAAGUUUGUGAGGUUAAUCUGCACCCAGUGAUAGUCAUGGCGAAGUUUGUGAGGUUAAUCUGCACCCAGUGACAGUCAUGGCGAAGUUUGUGAGGUUAACUCGCACCCAGUAACGCUGUUGUAAUGCAAGGUGUGUAUUUGGUGUCAUCUACGGGAAGAAGAAAGAGCAAAUUUUCUCAUGGCCUUGGCAGUUCCACAUGAUGAACAUUUAAUAUCUGCAGUUUUCUUCGCAUAAGACGGCUUUUUUGCACAAAAACAUUGGAAUCCAGUGAGCAAGAAAGAUAGAAUACAAGAUAGAUUUCCACAUGAGGAUGUGUCACGAACGAGGCUUUUGCAUCUCUGUCAGCUGGAUUCCCCCAUGU